This 286-nucleotide unclassified non-coding RNA is filed under the name Hevea brasiliensis (rubber tree). The record is from RNAcentral. Lineage: Eukaryota; Viridiplantae; Streptophyta; Magnoliopsida; Malpighiales; Euphorbiaceae.
ACCUUCUGAAGUACCAGAAAAUAAAUCUGACCAUAAUGCUGGCACCCUUCCUAAAAAGCAAAAUGAACCUGUUACACCUCAUGCAGGAUCUUCAAGCAUCAAAACUGAACUUGAGAACAAGAGAGAAUUGAAGAAUGAAAAGAAUAAAACAGAUAUUGCUACACCCAAAAGUAAUGGCAACUCAAGUUCAAAGCACUCGUUUCUUUUGGAUGAUGAUCAUGAUGGUAAUGAGUCGGGAACAGAGGAGGAGCAAUGGACAUUUAUGAAGGAGCUUGAAAAUUUCUUU